GAUAAUGCAACAGAAGUCCAGAGAGCGUGACUCGAUUCCCCACAGUCACUGAGCACAAUAAUGAUAGUGCCAGGCCAGCACAUGGGUUCCUUGACUACCAGUUGCAUGUUCUUACCAAGCGUCCAAUUACCUGCAACGUCAUUUUAGCCCUAAAUUCUUUGAAACCAACCAUGUAAAUAAUAACAGGUUGACUGCUCCUGCUCCCCCGGCCUGAGGGAACGUGGACUUUGGGGAGAAAGGGACUGAAUAAACACAAGACAUCAGACUUCCUUUCUGGAAUUUUCUGGUGAAACAGAAAACACUCCACCUGUCAGCCUCUUCCACCUGCCUGGUCCCCUCCUUCCUCCUUUCCCUUUGGAAUUUCACAAGGAUAUUAGGUCAUGGAGGAACCAUCUACCAAGGCGUAAUGGAACUUUUUCAUCUCUGGGUCAGCCUCUUUGACUUCUGGCAUCUGAGGCUUCCUCUCCAGCAGCUCCAGCCAGAAACACGGAGAAGAGCAGUAUGACACAGCAUGGGCUUUUGACAAGAACUGAGAUGAAUCCUGGCACUGCCACUUGGGACUAUAGAAAGU
Molecule: long non-coding RNA, 571 nt
Organism: Molossus molossus (Pallas's mastiff bat)
Lineage: Eukaryota; Metazoa; Chordata; Mammalia; Chiroptera; Molossidae
Exons: 3
Source: RefSeq, a predicted model, not a curated record